AACGCAACACACUCCGGAAAUAAUAUAGUUAAUGCGGUGUUUGUUUCUUUCAGAUACUUUAUAAAUUAGCGCUACACUCGCUUGGCUCAGUUCGGGGAGGGACUUCGUCGCAAGCCGAGACUUUAAUUCGAGUGUUUUAAGUUUCAAAAUAUUUGUGUUGAUAACGUUUCUGUUAUCUUAAAGGAGAGUGUGUGAGCGGCGGACGAGAUUGAUACGGUUAUCAAAACAUUAAAUAAAAUAUAAAUAAUAAAAGAACACAACAUUUUUGUAAGAUAUGAUAAAAAGAAACAGUGCAUUUUACAUGAGUGACGAAUGGAACUGCGUUAAGGAAACAGGGGUCCAGUCGCGUGGUGCGGUGAGUCAAGCCGGUGAAUCAUGCGCGGUUGACGACACUCUCCGACCUCGGGCCGCGCCGCGCUUGCUGCGUGUCAGACGACGCUCCACAACCAGCUCGCCAACUGUUCCUGCUGCUGCGAGAGUUACGCUGCUGGACACCUGGAGAAAUAUAAAUCUACAAAUGACCUACAUCCAACAAAAUAUGAAUUGUUCAGAACAUCAGAGGUCCGCUCAUAGAGUUUGCGAACGAGCCACGAAGCGCAGUGCGUUUAAGUUAAAUUGUUUGACAGGGUAUCGAACAACUACUUACUCUACAAUGAGCUCUUUAAACUAAAAUAGUGGGUUGGGCUGGACAUGUACGCUUGCCUAAUAACUUAUGGAACAAAAUAUCAUCCAAUGGAUUCCAUCCAUCGACAAAGCGGCUACAAUGCCGACCCAGACAUGCACCUGGAAGUAAUAUAGGUACAUAACACGGCCGGGUCGCUACAUCGCGUUCUAAAUGUAUUUAGUAUAACUUAACAAAUACCAGUAAAAAACCAUUGGAGAUAAAUAAUAUGUAAUAAGUCUGUUUCUCUCAUAGUAAACAACCACCAAGUAAUCAGGCUGUGAGUAACAAGGUUCGGUAGUUGUGGAGGGGAUAUUGUGUUGCCUUAACGACUUCUUCGUUAGGUCCCAUUAUCGAGCCGCGGCGUCGUCUACUGUUUGAAGUGACUUGCGAUGAUUUUCUGAUAUUCUGCCAAUGAUUGCCCAAUUACAGCCGCGUUGCCAGGCGGCCCCCGCGGCGGCGACCUCGCCAUACUACCCGGCUAACAUUUUCUAAGAAAUUUACAUGUCGUACUCUAAUUAACAUAGAUAAACAUGUUAUACAAAUCAUAAUAAACUCAUCUCUCUUGUCAUAAUCAUUAUUUGCUUGUCUGGUGUGUACACUGUCUAAUCAAGACCAAUCAAGCUUGUUCAAUCGAGACAUACGGACUACAGUUUAACCCGUUGAUACCGUGGACUCCGGUGACCUACUCGUAGGCCGAUUAUGAUUAGUCUGUUCAGAUCAUGAUAGUGCAGCAUCGUCAUAUGGUCGAUUAUUUAAUGAGCUGUCCAAUAUAAAUUUAGGUGGAUAGAAGAGAGGGACCUAUUGAUGGAUAAGGUUGCUAAAGUCACGACGUGCUCGUGGUACUAUUCAUUAAUUGAUGAUUACGAUAUCUAGAAGAAUGUCAUAAAUAUAGGUCUUGUUUCUUUUAAUUGUAAGGAUAUUUAUAAACUUACCGUUACCUUAAUACUUACCGGUAUAUUAAACGUAGGGAAACUGACAAGCAAGUUAGUUGCAAGCCAACGAAGCCUACACAAACCCUGUAGAACUAGAUUUUUUUUUUCUGUCUUGCUUUCUCAUUUAAUUUUCUUCUACCUAUAAUCUGCGUAUUUAGAUGUAGGUAGAAGUCUUUGAUUAAAGGUUAAUAUUUUCAGACGACAAGAUAUUCUUUUUAUUAAACUGUUUCGCCCGAUAGAGCAAGUAUAAUUUUCCAUGAAUUUAUAAAUAAAAUUGCUUCGUUGUAUAAGUCCCGAAAAUGAAUUGAAAUUUGUUUACAUUACAGUAUAGGUAUAAUAGGUAGUUAACAAGUGUAACAUAUGAGCGAAUGGGAAAGUUUGUUUGACGCACACGACGAAAAUACAUUGCGAGUAUGACAGUCGUAACGAAGUAUAAAACGAGCACAAGCCCCCGCUCGGUAGCACUUGACAAGGUAUCUCGGUUAGCGCAGACGCCUGUACGAGCUACAGUUUUCCGCAUUCGGUAUGUCGAUAGUAAGGUGUCUCGCGAUAUUGGCCCUGUUGGCGGGUCGCAACGCGCGGGGCAAGCCCAGCGGGCUGGCGCUGUCCGUGGCGCAGGAGCGCACCGUGUGCCGCACGGAGGUGGACUACGACGAGGACCCGCAGCGCAUCCCGCGCGUCAUCAAGCUGCUGCGCUGCGGCGCGGGGCCCGGCGCGGGGCCCUGCUGCGGGGGCGCCGGGGCCCCGCUGCGCCUGGCCUGCGCGCAGCUCACGGACCAGGUGCUGGUCAGCGACCGCAACAACCGCACCUACACGCUGCACGUGCCCGUGGGCUGCGCCUGCGUGCGACACACCUCCAACAGCGCGCUCGAGCUCAACUGACCGUCCGAUGUUCCUCACACCAUAUUAAUAUUUACUUAUUUGUAAACUGACUAUGGCUAACAGGUGCUUGAUUUUAAAUUGUUGGUAGUCUGAUCUCAGUUUGUCUGUCUUCCUCUCUCGUAGGUAUAUAAUUUCCUGUCGGACCAGCGGGAUUGUUCGAAAAGGAUUUUGGAACCCCGGUAGUUGCAAAAAGAGAAAAAAAAGAAUAUCGAAAUGAUUUAGCUUGAGCGAAUUAACUUGGUAGGUAGGUGCCUAAGAUAGCUAUUGCAGUAAUUAAGAAGAUUUUUAGAGGUGAAUGAUACUCGUAAUAAUAUCUGUUAAUUAGCACCAUAUACAUAAUACCAAAGAAUAAAUUGCAGACUGAUAAUGUUAUGAAUAAUUUAUUUUCACCAAUGUGUGUAGAACAAAUAACAAUGUAUAUUUAAUAAAUAUCUGAUUAAAUACAAUUUGAUGUACCUACGUAUGUUUUGUACUACGUAGCUAUAUUUACAACUAUUUUGGAUAACAUAAUAAAUAAUGCGAACUUAAAACAUUACUUACAAUAUAUUUUCUAGUUUAAAUAAUCUCUGCAGCGACUUGCAGCUGUAAAAACAGAGUAGCGUGCGAGGGCGUGUCCGGGGGCGGGCGGGGGCGGGGCCUGCGCCCGCGCCGCCUACGCCGCGCUUCACGCUGCUUCUGAUACUGUUUCAGAACGCUACGUACUUCACAGCUAGAUCAUUUUGCUUCACUUCUUUGUUACCAUAAAAUAUUUUGAUUUUAAUGUAACUAACAUUCAGUGCUUCUAGGAGGAUACCUACAAAAUCGCUGACUAUGAUAUAUUAUGCAAGAUUAGCCGUUUUUCUGUAACUUUUCAGUGGACUUAUUACAUACUAUAAGCGGUUUUAAAUGAAAAGAUUUGACAAAGAUUAGCAUCUUAGUCAGCUUCUUGACUGCGGGAGCUAUAGUGGUCUAAAAUGCCGACUUAACUAGAAUAUUAUUUAGUGAACUAAAAUUGCUUGUUUGCUCUAAAAACUGCUGGUUUGAAGAAGUUUUGUAAACCCCAAUAAAAUUUAAAUUGAACACAUACGUAAAUACAGCUAAUUUGCGUGUUUUUAGCUUUUUUCCAUGAGCAGUGAGCACUCCAAACAUCAGACCCGUUACCACACAGAUCAAACACGAGCAGGUAUUCAUAAAAGGAAACAAUGAGUUUAAUAAGAGACGGAAUAAAGAAAAGAAAACUCAUUAUUCAAUGAUGUAACGGUUUUGCUCA
Trichoplusia ni (cabbage looper) is the source of this 3727-nucleotide RNA transcript. RefSeq lists it as uncharacterized. Lineage: Eukaryota; Metazoa; Arthropoda; Insecta; Lepidoptera; Noctuidae. The record is from RefSeq and is a predicted model, not a curated record. The transcript has 3 exons.